Molecule: long non-coding RNA, 932 nt
Organism: Raphanus sativus (radish)
Lineage: Eukaryota; Viridiplantae; Streptophyta; Magnoliopsida; Brassicales; Brassicaceae
Exons: 2
Source: RefSeq, a predicted model, not a curated record
CAAUAAUGUUGCUCUAAGUUUAACCGAAUUCAAAAACUUCGGUAGAAAUUUUUGAAAAAACUUUUUUCGGUUCAAUUCUUUGAGUUUGCCAAACUGAGCUAACCUAGUUCCGAACUAGCAGACCGGAAAAAUCAUCCAUGGGAUGAAUUAUUGAAUUGUACUUUUUAUUGGUCUGGCAUGGAUCAUCAUUUCCACCCUUGGAUAAUGUCCAAUCAACGCUUGAGAUGAAUUGUACUUUUUCAUUUGUUUUUUUAAAUUAUUUUCUGAGAUCUCAUGUUUGAGAAGCGAGAGAGUUAGAGAGAGAGAGAGAGAGAGAGAGAGAGAGAGAGAGAGAGAGAGAGAGAUAGAGACAAAAAUGGCGAGCGGGGUCCUGAUGCGUCGGAGAGAGUAGCUGAAGAAGCAAUCGAAUCCGUGGAAGAGACGGAGCGGCUAAAGAGAUUGCUAGCGGAUUCCUUGUACGGGACAGAUCGAGGUCUUAGCGCAUCGAGCGAGACGAGAGCCGAGAUCAGUGAGCUCAUCACGCAGCUCGAGUCCAAGAAUCCUAAUCGAAGCUCUGUUUCUCCUCCUUAGUGGCAAAUGGAUUCUCGCAUGUAUUAAGGAGUAGGGAACGAGAAGCAGUAGUGUGACACAGGGGCGACUCCGGUCAAGCGUGGUGCAGCAGUGGUGCAAGCCGGUGGUGGUCGUCUGGUGGAUCAAUGUAUUUCAGUCUCUAUUGCUCUGUUAUAUAUCUGAUUUUCUCAUGAAGUCAUGGUGGCUGGAGGAGGCAAGGUCCAUGGCGGCUUGAGGAGGCAAAUCUCGUGGCAAUUUUUAUUUCUUUAAGGUUAUCUUUUCUUCAUGAUUUGAAUAAAGGAAAAUUAACAUUAAGCAAUUUUUUGGUUUAAAUUUUUUUAAAAAGAUAACUAUGGUUAAAUAUUUUUUACAUUUAUUUUUUU